UCAUUUGGAUGGAGAUGACAAAUGAUGAAACAAACAGCCCCAAGAUAAAAAGAUAAUUUAGGUGAACGGUUACGUACUUUUUCACCUUUCAUAUAUACCGAAAGUGUCCUUAGAGAGGAGAGAGAAGCAAUUCUUUCUUUGUCUCUCCCUUUACGGCCGUCAAACCCUAGUUUUCAGCCGUGUGUCUCCAGCUCCGGUGACCGGGCUUCUCUAGCUCUGGUCGCCACCCCGUCCGUUCGUUACUCCACCCAGCCUUCUCCCUUACCCUCUCCUUCGUACCUCCUCUUUUUUUUGCUGUGUGUUCUGGAUUUUCGCCAUGGUGGAUCUAAAUCGGAACUUCAUGCGUAUGAUGUUCCCUUGGAGUACCGACGAGGAGUGGUUUUGUAGGAAAGUCUAAGGAGCCUUUGAUUCGACUCUAGCUACUCAAUCGGAGCAGAUCUGGGUCACUGCCUCCUCCUCCUGUCAUCGGUCUUUCUUGUACUCGUACUACUCGGCUGUGCUCGUCUCAAGGUCCCUUUGAGCUUCUCUGAUUAGAGGCAGUGUUAAGGCUCGCCGCUCGGAAAACCUCAGCCUAGUUCAAUCGACAACAUCUCAAGGUGUAUCAUCGACGUCUGCUUGAGGUUCCUCUUCUCGCUUCCUGGUUUCAGAUCAAGGGUUUUGAGGACGACCCGCCGUGUUUGAUUCUUGUCGUUAGAAGACGGAACAGUAAACAGACGUUGGCUCACCUGUUUUGAGGAGACUUUUUCUCCUCCUGCGCUGUAAUCCCCAUUCUUGUAGCUCCGGCAAAACAUGGAUACCAACAAAAUCGGAACAAUUAUGGAACAAUUACAUACGAAGAACUGAAAACAGGGCUAACUAGGCUUGGUUCUAAACUGGCUGAAACUGAAGUGAAGCAACUCAUGGAAGCUAGGUAUGUUUGCUCGACGUCCUCCUCCUGUGGUGUUCCAGGGCCGUUGCCUACAGCCUUCGUCGAAGCCGCUUGGAGCCACUCUCGGGUGUGUGUUCGUGCAUGUUGCCUGAGUCUAUUUCUCUUGUCUUAUAUGGUCGAUCAAAGAGUCAAGAAAUGCUAUAUGUUUGGGAUCUGUAUGUUGUCUAUUGCACUGUUUUUGUUCUCCAAGAUUACCAUUCAUGGUAGACUUGGGUUUAAUCUCUAGUGUUUCUUAGGGGCUUUUUUUUAAAAAAAAAUUGCAGUCUCUGGGAUUAUCCCCUACGGUAACUGAGCUUGGAUAAUGCAGGAGGACAAUUAUGUCUAUUCAAUUCAAUUCUUCUAUCCGAUUGCUUAAUUAUUUUUUUUCCUGCAUGAUGUCCUAAAUGUCUUUUGUUUCAUGGUUUUCUAGCCAAUUUGGCCUAAUUUUAAUUGAACAGAAGUAGUUUUCAGGUCAGAGUUGUUUUGAGUGGAAGAUAAAUACGAAGAAGGAAGCUUUAUUAGUUCUAAAUUCCCAAAACACUUUCAUCAAGUUGUAAAGCUAGCUUACUUAUGCUUUGAAUGAUAAAAUUAACCUUUUAUAAUCAGUAAAUGAGGCCACCUAUUUUUUUUCACUUUUUUGAGUUUUUCAUUUUGUCGUUAUCUGUGUGGAAGUGUAAACUUAAAUUCAUCUUUGAAAGUAGGGUAACCUUGAUCUUAGGCCCAACAUUAACUCUCAAGUGCAGAACACCAAGAAGGCCUUCCUUUUCUUAUGCUUUUAGUUAGUUAGUCGUGUAAAGGCAAAAUCAACUUACCAAGGUCUUUUUUUUUUUGAAAAAACUUACCAAGGUCUUGCAUAAGGCAAAUUCAAACAGCUGCAUGGUUUUUUGGUGAUGGUAUCUGAUAAAGUUUAGUUGGUCAUGUUUGCUUGCGGUGAUUAAUAUUUUAUAGGUUUGUCACAAAAUUGAUUUUUUUCUCUCUCAAAUAAUAGAUCUUGUUACAUAGAUAAAUUAUAUUUUAAAAUUGUUAUUGAUGGUGACUUUUAAUCUUUUCACAUAUUCAUUAACCUGUUCAAAAAUAAUUCGGAUUGAUAAACGAACUCGGCCCAGAGUGAGUAUUUUUACUCGUCCCAAACUAACGAAGACACAGAACGACGUCGUAAUACAGCUUUCUUUUCCUCAGUAUCUGGAGAUCAUCAUCACAGGCCCUCCAUGAUAAUUUGUCAGAGAGAGAGAGAGAGAGAGAGAGAGAGAGAGAGAGAGAGAGAGAGAGAGAGAGAGAGAGAGAGAGAGAGAGAGAGAGAGAGAGAGAGAGAGAGAGAGAGAGAGAGAGAGAGAUGCAGAUUAGGAUUAUUAUGUUUUGUAAUUUGAUUGGUUGUUAUUAGGGAAAAUGCUUAACUAGGAUUAUUAUGUUUUGUAAUUUGAUUGGUUGUUAUUACAGAGCUUUGAGUUCAAACUUUUGUUUUGUUUGCUCUUUUUUUGUUUUUUCUUGUCCCAAUGUAAUAUUUUGUGAAGCUGUAGCUAUAUAUGGCGUUAUAGUUGCAAUCAUACGGCAAACGAAGUUGGAGAGUGUCCCAACUUCAAAGAUGUAUGACGCAGAGUCUCUUAGAGCUGGAUAUGCGAUCUUCGCAUCUGGAAUCAUUGUUGGAUUGCCAACCUUAUAUGCGGGUUAUGCGUAGGAAUCAUUGGAAGCAGCUGCGCUUUGUCAGAUGCUCAGAACUCCACACUCUUUGUGAAGAUUCUUGUUAUUGAGAUCUUCGGAAGCGCUCUCGGGUUGUUUGGAGUUAUUGUUGGGAUCAUUAUGUCCGCACAAGCAACAUGGCCUACCAAAUAGAUAUAAACGUGUCUGAAACUGUUGUGAUCUCUGGUAUCUUCAUUGUUAUAUAUAUGGAUGGAUACUCUCAUUAGUGUCUAGAAGAACAACCCGUGUGAGAACUCAAAACCUCUUUUGGAUCCCUGAUUUUUUGUGUUGUUUAAAACUUUGUAAUAAUUGGAGAGCUUAUUCUUCAUGUUUGUAUUAUCGUUGGUUUCUCUUUGUGACAAAGACAAGAGUUGUGUAUAUGAUUUGUUGUUGGUUAAAAUGGAAUAUUUCAUUCAGUUGA
This is an RNA transcript of Brassica napus (rape), 3005 nucleotides long. It is a transcript of the gene named V-type proton ATPase subunit c''2-like, with no coding region annotated. The record is from RefSeq and is a predicted model, not a curated record. NCBI's taxonomy places the organism in Eukaryota, Viridiplantae, Streptophyta, Magnoliopsida, Brassicales, Brassicaceae. The transcript has 3 exons.